Molecule: ribosomal RNA, 598 nt
Filed under: uncultured organism
Description: bacterial SSU rRNA
Rfam family: Bacterial small subunit ribosomal RNA
Source: RNAcentral
CGGUUGUAGAUUCCCUCCGUUCCGCAGUUAACGCGUUAAGCAUCCCGCCUGGGGAGUACGGCCGCAAGGCUGAAACUCGAACGAAUUGACGGGGGCCCGCACAAGCAGCGGAGCGUGUGGUUUAAUUCGAUGCUACACGAAGAACCUGACCUGGGCUUGACAUACAGGUAGUAGUGAAGUGAAAGCGGAUCGAUCCUUCGGGGAGCCUGUACAGGUGCUGCAUGGCUGUCGUCAGCUCGUGCCGUGAGGUGUCGGGUUAAGUCCCGUAACGAGCGCAACCCUUGCUCUUAGUUAUACGUGUCUAAGAGGACUGCCGGCGGUAAGCCGGAGGAAGGUGGGGAUGACGUCAAGUCAGCAUGGCCUUUAUGUCCAGGGCUACACACACGCUACAAUGGCCGGUACAAUGGGUAGCUAAACCGCGAGGUGGAGCCAAUCCUGUAAAGCCGGUCUCAGUUCGAAUUGCAGGCUGCAACUCGCCUGCAUGAAGUCGGAGUUGCUAGUAAUCGCAGGUCAGCAAUACUCCGGUGAAUACGUUCCCGGGCCUUGUACACACCGCCCGUCACGUCAUGGAAGCUGGCAACACCUGAAGCCGGUGAGC